Molecule: ribosomal RNA, 253 nt
Filed under: uncultured bacterium
Lineage: Bacteria
Description: partial 16S ribosomal RNA
Rfam family: Bacterial small subunit ribosomal RNA
Source: RNAcentral
UACGUAGGGGGCAAGCGUUGUCCGGAUUUACUGGGCGUAAAGAGCGCGCAGGCGGUCGAUCAAGUCGGGUGUGAAAGCCCCCGGCUCAACUGGGGAGGGUCACGCGAUACUGAUCGACUCGAAGGCAGGAGAGGGUAGUGGAAUUCCCGGUGUAGUGGUGAAAUGCGUAGAUAUCGGGAGGAACACCAGUGGCGAAGGCGACUACCUGGCCUGUUCUUGACGCUGAGGCGCGAAAGCUAGGGGAGCAAACGGG